This is an RNA transcript of Triticum aestivum (bread wheat), 3516 nucleotides long. It is a transcript of the gene named sialyltransferase-like protein 2, with no coding region annotated. The transcript has 3 exons. The record is from RefSeq and is a predicted model, not a curated record. NCBI's taxonomy places the organism in Eukaryota, Viridiplantae, Streptophyta, Magnoliopsida, Poales, Poaceae.
CGUAGCACUGGAUACUUCCCCGCCUCGCACCACUCGGCGCCAGCUGCUCUGACUUCUCCCCCACCCCACUGACACUCUCUCACGUCGGCGACUCACCCCCCACCCCUCGAGUCACGCGGCACCUACUAAUGGCCGCGGGAUCUCGCCGCCCGCACCGCCGGAGAUGAAGCCCCGCCAUCUCCCGCCGGUCCUUGUACUCGCCUUGCUUUCCCUCCUCUCACUUUCCCUCCGCCGCCAACUCACCCCCCUACAGCCGCCGCUUCGCCCCGCGGCCGGGGACCCGCUCCUUCGUCGCCUCGCCGCGGUGGAAGGUGUGGGAUCCGAGCAAGUCCUUGCCGACGCGGCUGCACUGCUCGUGAAUGGCUCGAUAUCCACGUUCCCCAGCCUUGGCAACCGCCAGCGCCUCCUCUACCUCCGCCUCCCGUUCGCCCGCACCGCCCGCGGCCCGCCGAGGCCGAGGACCGUGUCCCGCCUCCGCAUCCCCGCGGAGGCACUCCCCUCCGACGAAUCCCUGCUCGCGUCCUUCCGCACGUCCCUCCACUCCUUCCUCCUCGCCCACCACCGCCGCCGCCGGGGCGGAACCGGUAAUGUGGCCAGCGUCAUGAGCUCGCUCGCCGGCGUCCUCGGACGGCGCUUCCCGACCUGCGCGGUCGUCGGGAAUAGCGGCGCGCUCCUCGGCUCCGGCCGCGGACCGCAGAUCGACGCGCACGAGCUCGUCAUCCGCCUCAACAACGCACGCGUGGCCGGCUUCGUCGCCGACGUCGGCGCCAAAACCUCGCUCUCCUUCGUCAACUCCAACAUCCUCCACCUCUGCGCGUCCCGCAGUGCCGCCACCGCCGCAGGCUGCGGGUGCCACCCGUAUGGCCCCACCGUGCCCAUGGCCAUGUACAUCUGCCAGCCAGCGCACCUCCUGGACGCCCUCAUCUGCAACGCAACCGCCACCCACGCCUCCCCAUUCCCGCUCCUCGUCACCGACGCGCGCCUGGACGCGCUCUCGGCGCGCAUUGCCAAGUACUACUCGAUUCAGCGAUUCGUGUCGGACACGGGUGCUCCGGCGAGCAACUGGACCCGGAAGCACGACGAGAGGUACUUCCACUAUUCCUCAGGUAUGCAGGCGGUGGUGAUGGCGCUUGGGGUGUGCGAGGAACUGAGCCUAUUCGGGUUCGGCAAGCCGGCAGGGGCCAAGCACCAUUAUCACACCAACCAGAAGAAGGAGCUGGACCUGCACGACUACCAGGCGGAGUACGAUUUCUACGGCGACCUCCAGGCGCGACCGGAGAUGGUGCCGUUCCUUGACGAGGCCCAAGGCUUCACGGUGCCGCCGGUCAGGUUGUACUGAACAAACACAAAACGUUGAUUUCUCAUUACAAGACUGGCCUGCAAAAUAUCUGGUAAGUCCAAUGUGGUGCAAACUGUUGUAGAUUGUUUCAGUCAUUAUGUAAUUUUUUGUCCGACAGAUUGCCUUGCUCUUUUCUUUUUAUGAACACAAUUAGCAUUAGUUAGAAUUAGAGUUUUCUGUAUAACUUGCCAUUUUGGCAGGAACAAAAAUUGAAGUACUGUAGUACUGCUGCGCUCUCAUUAUGCAUCCAUGACUCGCUUCAUUUGGAUCCCAAGGCAGAUGUUAUCUCUGUUAUAUGAGCAAUGCUACUUUGAGGUUGUUGUUUAUCAAAGUACUACUGUAGCUUUUUGUGCUCUUUACAUUCGUCACUUUUCUGGAGUAAUCUUUCUCAUCGGUUAAUUAGAUAAAUGACAUUACAAUUAUGCCACCUCGACUUAGAGAAAUGCUACUACAACUUUUCUCUUUGAAAAAAUGCCACCCGAAUUUGUGUCACACCUGCAGAUGCAGAUAUUGCUUUUGGCUCUAGGGAGUAUAUGCUCCUGCACGUCAAAAAUGUAUUUUGCCAAGGUCAAUUUUUUAUUUUAAAAAAUAGAUGUGUUCGUUGUGACACCAAAAUGCUACCUACAAACUUUUAGGGGAAAAGCUUAAGCAUGUGGAUGUGUGCAAAAAAAAGUCAAACAACAAAUGUCACCUUCAAAUGGUAUACUUAAUUUUGAUUUUUCAUCGACGAAGUACUGCUAUCCGUUUUCCAUGAAAAUUGGCAAGCACACUGGUACACUAACACGAACAUUUACAAAAAAAAAAUCUGAAUUUUAAAAUUUAUUUCCUAUUUGUUUUUAAUAACUAUUUACCAGUGAGCGUGCGCUCCCUAGAUCCAAAACUCCGUGUCCCCUAUAGAUGCCAUUAUGUAAAAUUUUAGACGAUAAUACUUGUAUCUUCUUCCCGCAAAAAAAAAAAAAAAACUUGUAUCUUCUUCCUUGGCAUUUUUUCUUCCAUCCUCCGAAUCCUAAUCUCCUCAUGUUUUCCGUGUGAGAAUGUUUCCAAAUCUUAGCCAGGGUGUGUCGUUUUGUUAGCAUUACUGCUACUACCUAAGCAUAUGCCCAAAAGAAACAAGAGCCCACACAUUGUGAAGCCCAAGUAUGAGGAAAAUACAUGAAGAUGUCCUACGCCAAGGUCACCGGAAGCUGGUGGGUAGCUGCCGUCACGUUUGUCUCAAAAAAAAAAACUGCCGUCACGUAAGUGGAUCCGAGAGGAGAAGCAUCGAAGAUCGAUCACGGCAACGGCUCGGUGGCUGACGGUGUUACGGGUUAGGGGUGCCUCGAGUCAUUGGACGUCGGUCCAUCAGGCUGUUUGAUGUGGAGCAUUCUAUGGACAUCAUCAUGUUAAAAGUCUAUUUGUCAAGUGACACGUGCAACCUCUACUUCACAUACAUAAAGGUAUUGCCGGAGCUUAACGGAUGACGACGAGGAGUGCAAGCGCCAAGAAACAUCUACACCAUCCGCGAGGGAAGCGUGGAAGCGAAGACAGAAGAAGACGGAGCUACAGCAAAGCUACAACCACCGGACGUCCGACGCGACCACGCCCAGGCCAGCUAGAAGAACCGCAACCGGUGCACGCUACAGCGGCCGGACGGCCGACGAGAUGCCGGACGUCCGACACACUACAACCACCACACGACUGACCGCUACCGGAAAUCCGGCGACACCUGUACAAAGAAGAAAUGUUGGAAGUCCGACGCCCUCCAGACGUCCGGACCCCCGCGAGCCACGGGACGACCGACGUCCCUCGGACGUCCGACGCCUGCCAGUGCACAGCCGGGCUUUUGGCUUUGUAUCCCUUUCCCACUUACCCCUUCGUGGCUUAGACUAUAAAUAGACCUCCCUCUCCUUUCUAGGCUUAGCAAAGUGAUAGCUCAUUUGUAUGUGAGUUUUGCUCCUAUUUACUCUACUCUACUGUUGAGAGAGAGAGACCACUCCAUUGGAGUUCAAGACCUCCUUUGGAGAAGAUCCCAUAGGGGAAUCAAGACCGGAAGAUCCAUCUCGGAUUCAAGACCUCAACUCCUCACGGAUUGGGAUGAACUAGCUACCGUUUGUAUCGUCCUUUGUUGGGUAUGGAUCGUGUAUCUCUCCGUGUGUAUGUGGAUCUAGCACAUGUGUAACCGUUUCUCGUUGAUUUGA